AUUGAACGCUGGCGGAAUGCUUUACACAUGCAAGUCGAACGGCAGCACGGACUUCGGUCUGGUGGCGAGUGGCGAACGGGUGAGUAAUACAUCGGAACGUGCCCAGUCGUGGGGGAUAACGUAGCGAAAGCUACGCUAAUACCGCAUACGAUCUAAGGAUGAAAGCGGGGGACCGUAAGGCCUCGCGCGAUUGGAGCGGCCGAUAUCAGAUUAGGUAGUUGGUGGGGUAAAGGCUCACCAAGCCGACGAUCUGUAGCUGGUCUGAGAGGACGACCAGCCACACUGGGACUGAGACACGGCCCAGACUCCUACGGGAGGCAGCAGUGGGGAAUUUUGGACAAUGGGCGAAAGCCUGAUCCAGCCACGCCGCGUGCAGGAUGAAGGCCUUCGGGUUGUAAACUGCUUUUGUACGGAACGAAAAGGUUUGGCCUAAUAAGCUGAGCUCAUGACGGUACCGUAAGAAUAAGCACCGGCUAACUACGUGCCAGCCGCCGCAGUAA
Molecule: ribosomal RNA, 500 nt
Filed under: uncultured bacterium
Lineage: Bacteria
Description: partial 16S ribosomal RNA
Rfam family: Bacterial small subunit ribosomal RNA
Source: RNAcentral